Molecule: long non-coding RNA, 115 nt
Organism: Thalassophryne amazonica
Lineage: Eukaryota; Metazoa; Chordata; Actinopteri; Batrachoidiformes; Batrachoididae
Exons: 3
Source: RefSeq, a predicted model, not a curated record
UCCAUAACCUCUGACUCCUCGGACAGCACUGCAUCAACAACUGUCAAUUCAUUGAUAGCUGAUAUAACCACAUGGGCAAGGGAUUAUUUUGGGAAACGUUUGUUCAGCACUGCAG